UUCCGUCGGAAUCUGGGAGGACCAUCUCCUAAGGCUAAAUACUCUCUAGUGACCGAUAGUGAACCAGUACCGUGAGGGAAAGGUGAAAAGCACCCCGGAAGGGGAGUGAAAUAGAACCUGAAACCGUGUGCUUACAAGUAGUCAGAGCCCGUUAAUGGGUGAUGGCGUGCCUUUUGUAGAAUGAACCGGCGAGUUACGAUUUGAUGCA
Molecule: ribosomal RNA, 208 nt
Filed under: Staphylococcus aureus
Lineage: Bacteria; Bacillati; Bacillota; Bacilli; Caryophanales; Staphylococcaceae
Description: partial 23S ribosomal RNA
Rfam family: Bacterial large subunit ribosomal RNA
Source: RNAcentral